AUAGGGGAGCCGGAGGGAAACCGAGUCUUAAUUGGGCGUUAAGUUGCAGGGUAUAGACCCGAAACCCGGUGAUCUAGCCAUGGGCAGGUUGAAGGUUGGGUAACACUAACUGGAGGACCGAACCGACUAAUGUUGAAAAAUUAGCGGAUGAUCUGUGGCUGGGGGUGAAAGGCCAAUCAAACCGGGAGAUAGCUGGUUCUCCCCGAAAGCUAUUUAGGUAGCGCCUCGUGAAUUCAUCUCCGGGGGUAGAGCACUGUUUCGGCUAGGGGGCCAUCCCGGCUUACCAACCCGAUGCAAACUGCGAAUACCGGAGAAUGUUAUCACGGGAGACACACGGCGGGUGCUAACGUCCGUCGUGAAGAGGGAAACAACCCAGACCGCCAGCUAAGGUCCCAAAGUCAUGGUUAAGUGGGAAACGAUGUGGGAAGGCCCAGACAGCCAGGAUGUUGGCUUAGAAGCAGCCAUCAUUUAAAGAAAGCGUAAUAGCUCACUGGUCGAGUCGGCCUGCGCGGAAGAUGUAACGGGGCUAAACCAUGCACCGAAGCUGCGGCAGCGAACGUAUCACCCAAGACAACUUUACGGAGUUGACGAUUGACGGAGCGAAGCGACGUCAAAGCGUUCAUUAAAGUCGAGUUGGCUUAGGGAUACGUUCGUUGGGUAGGGGAGCGUUCUGUAAGCCUGUGAAGGUGUGUCGUGAGGCAUGCUGGAGGUAUCAGAAGUGCGAAUGCUGACAUAAGUAACGAUAAAGCGGGUGAAAAGCCCGCUCGCCGGAAGACCAAGGGUUCCUGUCCAACGUUAAUCGGGGCAGGGUGAGUCGACCCCUAAGGCGAGGCCGAAAGGCGUAGUCGAUGGGAAACGGGUUAAUAUUCCCGUACUUGGUGUUACUGCGAAGGGGGGACGGAGAAGGCUAUGUUGGCCGGGCGACGGUUGUCCCGGUUUAAGCGUGUAGGUGUGUGUUCCAGGUAAAUCCGGUUCACUUUAACACUGAGGCGUGACGACGAGGCACUACGGUGCUGAAGCAACAAAUGCCCUGCUUCCAGGAAAAGCCUCUAAGCAUCAGGUAACAUCAAAUCGUACCCCAAACCGACACAGGUGGUCAGGUAGAGAAUACCAAGGCGCUUGAGAGAACUCGGGUGAAGGAACUAGGCAAAAUGGUGCCGUAACUUCGGGAGAAGGCACGCUGACACGUAGGUGAAGUGAUUUACUCAUGGAGCUGAAGUCAGUCGAAGAUACCAGCUGGCUGCAACUGUUUAUUAAAAACACAGCACUGUGCAAACACGAAAGUGGACGUAUACGGUGUGACGCCUGCCCGGUGCCGGAAGGUUAAUUGAUGGGGUCAGCGCAAGCGAAGCUCCUGAUCGAAGCCCCGGUAAACGGCGGCCGUAACUAUAACGGUCCUAAGGUAGCGAAAUUCCUUGUCGGGUAAGUUCCGACCUGCACGAAUGGCGUAAUGAUGGCCAGGCUGUCUCCACCCGAGACUCAGUGAAAUUGAACUCGCUGUGAAGAUGCAGUGUACCCGCGGCAAGACGGAAAGACCCCGUGAACCUUUACUAUAGCUUGACACUGAACAUUGAGCCUUGAUGUGUAGGAUAGGUGGGAGGCUUUGAAGUGUGGACGCCAGUCUGCAUGGAGCCGACCUUGAAAUACCACCCUUUAAUGUUUGAUGUUCUAACGUGGACCCGUAAUCCGGGUUGCGGACAGUGUCUGGUGGGUAGUUUGACUGGGGCGGUCUCCUCCUAAAGAGUAACGGAGGAGCACGAAGGUUGGCUAAUCCUGGUCGGACAUCAGGAGGUUAGUGCAAUGGCAUAAGCCAGCUUGACUGCGAGCGUGACGGCGCGAGCAGGUGCGAAAGCAGGUCAUAGUGAUCCGGUGGUUCUGAAUGGAAGGGCCAUCGCUCAACGGAUAAAAGGUACUCCGGGGAUAACAGGCUGAUACCGCCCAAGAGUUCAUAUCGACGGCGGUGUUUGGCACCUCGAUGUCGGCUCAUCACAUCCUGGGGCUGAAGUAGGUCCCAAGGGUAUGGCUGUUCGCCAUUUAAAGUGGUACGCGAGCUGGGUUUAGAACGUCGUGAGACAGUUCGGUCCCUAUCUGCCGUGGGCGCUGGAGAACUGAGGGGGGCUGCUCCUAGUACGAGAGGACCGGAGUGGACGCAUCACUGGUGUUCGGGUUGUCAUGCCAAUGGCACUGCCCGGUAGCUAAAUGCGGAAGAGAUAAGUGCUGAAAGCAUCUAAGCACGAAACUUGCCCCGAGAUGAGUUCU
RNAcentral lists this ribosomal RNA (2259 nucleotides) under Salmonella enterica. RNAcentral's name for it is "bacterial LSU rRNA". It matches the Rfam family "Bacterial large subunit ribosomal RNA", at positions 657 to 2812 of the family's 2925-position model. The record is from RNAcentral. Lineage: Bacteria; Pseudomonadati; Pseudomonadota; Gammaproteobacteria; Enterobacterales; Enterobacteriaceae.